CUGGAGGCUGGGGAGCAGAGGGGAGGCCCAGGGAGGACGGAAGGAUUAAGGAGAAGAAUGUGCCCCGUCUUACCAGCGAUGGACGCCGUCCUGACUGAUAAGCUCUGUGCCCCAGUGCCCAACAUGGGGCUUGAACUCAUGACCCUGAGAUCAAGAGUUGUAUGCUCUUACCCACUGAGCCAGCCAGGUCUGCCAAUAUAUUGAUUCCCUUCCUUCCUUCCUUCCU
RNAcentral lists this long non-coding RNA (226 nucleotides) under Mustela putorius furo (domestic ferret). Its description in RNAcentral is "lncRNA (ENSMPUG00000024052.1)". The record is from RNAcentral. Lineage: Eukaryota; Metazoa; Chordata; Mammalia; Carnivora; Mustelidae.